CGACUGGCGCACGGGUGAGUAACGCGUAUCCAACCUUCCCAUAACUACGGGAUAACCCGUUGAAAGACGGCCUAAUACCGUAUGAUAUCGUUUGCUGACAUCAAAAUAACGAUUAAAGGGUUUAGCGGUUAUGGAUGGGGAUGCGUCUGAUUAGCUUGUUGGCGGGUAACGGCCCACCAAGGCUACGAUCAGUAGGGGUUCUGAGAGGAAGGUCCCCCCACAUUGGAACUGAGACACGGUCCAAACUCCUACGGGAGGCAGCAGUGAGGAAUAUUGGUCAAUGGGCGAGAGCCUGAACCAGCCAAGUAGCGUGCAGGAAGACGGCCCUAUGGGUUGUAAACUGCUUUUAUGUGGGGAUAAAGUGCGCGACGUGUCGUGCAUUGCAGGUACCACAUGAAUAAGGACCGGCUAAUUCCGUGCCAGCAGCCGCGGUAAU
This 436-nucleotide ribosomal RNA is filed under the name uncultured Prevotella sp. RNAcentral's name for it is "bacterial SSU rRNA". It matches the Rfam family "Bacterial small subunit ribosomal RNA", at positions 92 to 524 of the family's 1533-position model. Lineage: Bacteria; Pseudomonadati; Bacteroidota; Bacteroidia; Bacteroidales; Prevotellaceae. The record is from RNAcentral.